AUUGAACGCUGGCGGCAGGCCUAACACAUGCAAGUCGAGCGGAUGAAGGGAGCUUGCUCCUGGAUUCAGCGGCGGACGGGUGAGUAAUGCCUAGGAAUCUGCCUGGUAGUGGGGGAUAACGUCCGGAAACGGGCGCUAAUACCGCAUACGUCCUGCGGGAGAAAGUGGGGGAUCUUCGGACCUCACGCUAUCAGAUGAGCCUAGGUCGGAUUAGCUAGUUGGUGGGGUAAAGGCCUACCAAGGCGACGAUCCGUAACUGGUCUGAGAGAAUGAUCAGUCACACUGGAACUGAGACACGGUCCAGACUCCUACGGGAGGCAGCAGUGGGGAAUAUUGGACAAUGGGCGAAAGCCUGAUCCAGCCAUGCCGCGUGUGUGAAGAAGGUCUUCGGAUUGUAAAGCACUUUAAGUUGGGAGGAAGGGCAGUAAGUUAAUACCUUGCUGUUUUGACGUUACCAACAGAAUAAGCACCGGCUAACUUCGUG
This 484-nucleotide ribosomal RNA is filed under the name uncultured bacterium. RNAcentral describes it as "partial 16S ribosomal RNA". It matches the Rfam family "Bacterial small subunit ribosomal RNA", at positions 30 to 507 of the family's 1533-position model. The record is from RNAcentral.